GACGAACGCUGGCGGCGUGCCUAAUACAUGCAAGUAGAACGCUGAAGAGAGGAGCUUGCUCUUCUUGGAUGAGUUGCGAACGGGUGAGUAACGCGUAGGUAACCUGCCUUGUAGCGGGGGAUAACUAUUGGAAACGAUAGCUAAUACCGCAUAACAAUGGAUGACCCAUGUCAUUUAUUUGAAAGGGGCAAAUGCUCCACUACAAGAUGGACCUGCGUUGUAUUAGCUAGUAGGUGAGGUAACGGCUCACCUAGGCGACGAUACAUAGCCGACCUGAGAGGGUGAUCGGCCACACUGGGACUGAGACACGGCCCAGACUCCUACGGGAGGCAGCAGUAGGGGAUCUUCGGCAAUGGGGGCAACCCUGACCGAGCAACGCCGCGUGAGUGAAGGAGGUUUUCGGAUCGUAAAGCUCUGUUGUAAGUCAAGAACGAGUGUGGGAGUGGAAAGUUCACACUGUGACGGUAGCUUACCAGAAAGGGACGGCUAACUACGUG
This 497-nucleotide ribosomal RNA is filed under the name uncultured bacterium. Its description in RNAcentral is "partial 16S ribosomal RNA". It matches the Rfam family "Bacterial small subunit ribosomal RNA", at positions 28 to 507 of the family's 1533-position model. The record is from RNAcentral.